UACGUAGGGGGCAAGCGUUGUCCGGAUUUAUUGGGCGUAAAGAGCGUGUAGGCGGUUCAGUAAGUCGGGUGUGAAAUCUCCGUGCUCAACACGGAGCGGCCACCUGAUACUGCUGUGACUCGAGUCCGGUAGGGGAGUGUGGAAUCCCCGGUGUAGCGGUGAAAUGCGCAGAUAUCGGGAGGAACACCAGUAGCGAAGGCGGCACUCUGGGCCGUGACUGACGCUGAGGAGCGAAAGCGUGGGGAGCGAACAGG
RNAcentral lists this ribosomal RNA (254 nucleotides) under uncultured bacterium. Its description in RNAcentral is "partial 16S ribosomal RNA". It matches the Rfam family "Bacterial small subunit ribosomal RNA", at positions 524 to 776 of the family's 1533-position model. The record is from RNAcentral.